RNAcentral lists this ribosomal RNA (497 nucleotides) under uncultured bacterium. Its description in RNAcentral is "partial 16S ribosomal RNA". It matches the Rfam family "Bacterial small subunit ribosomal RNA", at positions 28 to 507 of the family's 1533-position model. The record is from RNAcentral.
GAUGAACGCUGGCGGCGUGCCUAAUACAUGCAAGUCGGGCGAACGGACGAGAAGCUUGCUUCUCUGAUGUUAGCGGCGGACGGGUAAGUAACACGUGGAUAACCUACCUAUAAGACUGGGAUAACUUCGGGAAACCGGAGCUAAUACCGGAUAAUAUUUUGAACCGCAUGGUUCAAAAGUGAAAGACGGUCUUGCUGUCACUUAUAGAUGGAUCCGCGCUGCAUUAGCUAGUUGGUAAGGUAACGGCUUACCAAGGCAACGAUGCAUAGCCGACCUGAGAGGGUGAUCGGCCACACUGGAACUGAGACACGGUCCAGACUCCUACGGGAGGCAGCAGUAGGGAAUCUUCCGCAAUGGGCGAAAGCCUGACGGAGCAACGCCGCGUGAGUGAUGAAGGUCUUCGGAUCGUAAAACUCUGUUAUUAGGGAAGAACAUAUGUGUAAGUAACUGUGCACAUCUUGACGGUACCUAAUCAGAAAGCCACGGCUAACUACGUG